UAACACGUGAGCAACCUGCCUUUCAGAGGGGGAUAACGUUUGGAAACGAACGCUAAUACCGCAUGACAUAUACGAACGGCAUCGUUUGUAUAUCAAAGGAGCAAUCCGCUGAGAGAUGGGCUCGCGUCCGAUUAGCUAGAUGGUGAGGUAACGGCCCACCAUGGCUUCGAUCGGUAGCCGGACUGAGAGGUUGACCGGCCACAUUGGGACUGAGACACGGCCCAGACUCCUACGGAAGGCAGCAG
RNAcentral lists this ribosomal RNA (245 nucleotides) under uncultured bacterium. RNAcentral's name for it is "partial 16S ribosomal RNA". It matches the Rfam family "Bacterial small subunit ribosomal RNA", at positions 111 to 354 of the family's 1533-position model. The record is from RNAcentral.